UCCCCAGCCUAUCCUUCGAAAUGUCCAGGAGACUCUUCCUCAGUCUUGAGUUUCCCGCUGAUGUUACCACUGUCUUUGUUUCUGGAGAGGAAAACAAGUCUAAACUUACUUUCCAGUUGGAAAUGGAAUGGAGAGUUAACGUUGGAAGCCGGGAGAGUCUGUCCUGUGAUGAAGCGGUCUCUGAGCCACUUCCAUGGGGACGUCACGUCACUGUCUGGGCCCCUUGCACAGCCUGUGCACAGCAUUCCUAGGAGAGAAUUCAGCAGUGCAGCAUCCUCUCCGAGCUCUAUGAGUUGAUCGGCUUCCACCGCAAGUCCGCCUUCUUCAAGCGGGUGGCCCCCGUGCAGCGCGCGGCCCCCGGCAUCCCGGAGCCUGGCGGGAAGGUCUUCUCCCGACUCCUUCUGCAGACGCUUCCUGGCUACAGUCUGUCGCGGGAUCUGCAGGACUUCAGCAAAGGUGUUGGAACUAAAACAUUGCUUCAGUCCCAUUAACCAUGCCUGGUUUGGGCCCUGCUGUCCUGUCUCAUCAGGGUGAAUUCUGAUUCGUUUAGAAUAGGGCUCAGCAGACUUUUUCUGUCAAGAGCUUGGGAGUAAAUAUUUCAGGGUCUGCAAACCUCCUGAUCUCUGGUGCAGCUGCUCAGCUCUGCUGUUCAGACGCCAGAGCAUCCGGACAUUCCACACACCCACAGAGCUUUAUUAACAGCGGUGUCUGGGGCUGGAUUCAGUGUAUGAACUGCAGUUUGUCCCCACAGCCUCCUCACUAUUGACGCCUGCACCAGAGCAUGCAUUUGCGACAAUGGGUGAACCUGCACUGACACGUCAUCAUCACCCAGAGCCCAGACUUAACACUAGGAUUUACACUUGGUGGUGUGCACUCUGUGGGUUUGGACAUAUGUGCAAUGACAUGUAUCCACCGUCACAGCAUCAUACAGAGUAGUCUGUCUUAGUGACCUUAAAAUGCUCUGUGCUGCACCUCAUUCAUUGCUCCUUCCCCUCUAGCCUCUGACAGCCACUGAUCUUUUAGUCUCUGUGGUUUUCCCUUUCCCAGAACACCAUACAGUUGGAAUCAGACAGUUGCGGAACCUUCCCAGAUUGGCUUCUUUCACUUAGUAAUAUGCAUUUAAGGUUCCUCCAUGUCUUUCCAUGCCUUGAUAACUCAUUUCAUUUUAGCACCAAAUAAUAGUCCAUUUUCUGGCUGGACCACAGUUAAUCCAUUCACCUACUGAAGAACAGCUUAGUUGCUUCUGAGUUCUGGUGAUUAUGAAUAAAGCUGCUAUUAACAUCUGUAUGCAGUUUUGUGUGUGGACAUAAGUUUCCAUUUCGUCGAGUAAACACCAAGGAGCACAGUUGCCGGAUCAUGUGUUAGGAGUACGUUUAGUUUUGUAAAAAAUUGCCAGACCGUCUUCCAAAGUAUCUGGGCCAUUUUACAUUCCCACCAGCAAUGCAUGAGAAUUCCUUAUGCUCCACAUCCUCACCAGCAUUUGGUGCUGUCAGUGUUCAGAGUUUUGGCAGUUCUGACAGGUGUGCAGUGGUACCUCGCUGUUUCAGUCUGCAUCCCCUUGAUGACAGAUGCUGUGGAGCAUCUUUCCAUAGACUUCUUUGGCAUCUAGAUUUUUUCUUUGAUGAGAUCUGUGUCAGGAAUUUUGCUCAUUUUUUAAUCAGGUUGUUCAUCCUUCUUGUUGAGUUUAAAGAGAUUUUGGUAUAUUCUGGAUAUCAGCCCUUUAUCAAUGUGUCCCUGCCCUUCACCUGCAGCACCGGAGUUGUCCUUUGGGUCUCAGUGGAGUGUCAGCUCUUCAAAGAGGUUCCCUGUCUUCCCUCAGCCUAAAUACUGUCCUUGUAUUUUUCACUUUCAUUGACUCAUUUUGUUCUUUUUAAAUAGCAUUUCCCAUAAUUUGUAAUUAUAUUAAAAAAAAGGGCAAUGAUUGAACACCACCUCCCCACCAGGCUGUGUGCCCUGUGAGAGCAGAGGCCCUGUCCCCACUCACCAUUUCCCAUGACAGCACAUGGCACAUGUCCAUGUAAAAGUGUGUAACGUGGGGCCAAACCUGAUGAGCAGCUAUGAUGACAUGUGUUGUCUACCAUUUAUUGAAUAGACUUUGUUUCUGAUGUAAAUUAUUAAAUCACAUGAAUUAAACUUGUUUGUUUUGAAAAAUAAAACAACAAAGCCCACCUCCA
Molecule: long non-coding RNA, 2174 nt
Organism: Camelus dromedarius (Arabian camel)
Lineage: Eukaryota; Metazoa; Chordata; Mammalia; Artiodactyla; Camelidae
Exons: 2
Source: RefSeq, a predicted model, not a curated record